This 281-nucleotide transfer-messenger RNA is filed under the name Bacillus sp. AFS076308. RNAcentral describes it as "partial transfer-messenger RNA". It matches the Rfam family "transfer-messenger RNA", at positions 87 to 374 of the family's 374-position model. From Rfam's summary of the family: Bacterial tmRNA, also known as 10Sa RNA or SsrA, is named for its dual tRNA and mRNA-like properties. Lineage: Bacteria; Bacillati; Bacillota; Bacilli; Caryophanales; Bacillaceae. The record is from RNAcentral.
AUAACUGGCAAACAAAACAACAACUUCGCUUUCGCUGCCUAAUAACAGACGAUAGCGGUGCCUCCCUCCAUCGUCCAUGUGGUAGGGUAAGGGACUCACUUUAAGUGGACUACGCCGAAUUCCACCGUCUGAGGAUGAAGGAAGAGAAUAACCAGACUAGCUGCUUCCAUGCCUGUCAGUAGGCUAAAGAAGCAAGUGAAAAAUAAUUAUACUGACUACACUCGUAGAGGUAUAAGUGGCAAUAUCUUUGCACGCGGGUUCAACUCCCGUCAUUUCCACUU